CCUGGACUUUGAAUCCAGUAACGCGAGUUCGAAUCUCGCCGGAACCU
Molecule: non-coding RNA, 47 nt
Organism: Haemonchus placei
Lineage: Eukaryota; Metazoa; Nematoda; Chromadorea; Rhabditida; Trichostrongylidae
Source: Rfam